Molecule: ribosomal RNA, 464 nt
Filed under: Vreelandella stevensii
Lineage: Bacteria; Pseudomonadati; Pseudomonadota; Gammaproteobacteria; Oceanospirillales; Halomonadaceae
Description: partial 16S ribosomal RNA
Rfam family: Bacterial small subunit ribosomal RNA
Source: RNAcentral
CCUACGGGAGGCUGCAGUGGGGAAUAUUGGACAAUGGGGGGAACCCUGAUCCAGCCAUGCCGCGUGUGUGAAGAAGGCCCUCGGGUUGUAAAGCACUUUCAGUGAGGAAGAACGCCUGGUGGUUAAUACCCAUCAGGAAAGACAUCACUCACAGAAGAAGCACCGGCUAACUCCGUGCCAGCAGCCGCGGUAAUACGGAGGGUGCGAGCGUUAAUCGGAAUUACUGGGCGUAAAGCGCGCGUAGGUGGCUUGAUAAGCCGGUGUGAAAGCCCCGGGCUCAACCUGGGAACGGCAUCCGGAACUGUCAAGCUAGAGUGCAGGAGAGGAAGGUAGAAUUCCCGGUGUAGCGGUGAAAUGCGUAGAGAUCGGGAGGAAUACCAGUGGCGAAGGCGGCCUUCUGGACUGACACUGACACUGAGGUGCGAAAGCGUGGGUAGCAAACAGGAUUAGAUACCCUUGUAGUC